RNAcentral lists this transfer RNA (67 nucleotides) under uncultured Butyrivibrio sp. It matches the Rfam family "tRNA". From Rfam's summary of the family: Transfer RNA (tRNA) molecules are approximately 80 nucleotides in length. Their secondary structure includes four short double-helical elements and three loops (D, anti-codon, and T loops). The record is from RNAcentral. Lineage: Bacteria; Bacillati; Bacillota; Clostridia; Lachnospirales; Lachnospiraceae.
GGUGUGGCUUAGCUUGGUAGAGCGCCUGGUUUGGGACCAGGAGGUCGCAGGUUCGAAUCCUGUCACC